AAUGUUGGAACAGGCUCAAGGA
RNAcentral lists this microRNA (22 nucleotides) under Chiloscyllium plagiosum (whitespotted bambooshark). RNAcentral describes it as "microRNA PC-5p-395239_2". Lineage: Eukaryota; Metazoa; Chordata; Chondrichthyes; Orectolobiformes; Hemiscylliidae. The record is from RNAcentral.